RNAcentral lists this ribosomal RNA (387 nucleotides) under uncultured bacterium. RNAcentral's name for it is "bacterial SSU rRNA". It matches the Rfam family "Bacterial small subunit ribosomal RNA", at positions 28 to 416 of the family's 1533-position model. The record is from RNAcentral.
GACGAACGCUGGCGGCGUGCUUAACACAUGCAAGUCGAGCGGUAAGGCCCUUUCGGGGGUACACGAGCGGCGAACGGGUGAGUAACACGUGGGUGACCUGCCCUCAGCUCUGGGAUAAGCCUGGGAAACUGGGUCUAAUACUGGAUAUGACUCCACGGUGCAUGUCGUGGGGUGGAAAGCCUUGUGCGGCUGAGGAUGAGCCCGCGGCCUAUCAGCUUGUUGGUGGGGUGAUGGCCUACCAAGGCGACGACGGGUAGCCGGCCUGAGAGGGCGACCGGCCACACUGGGACUGAGACACGGCCCAGACUCCUACGGGAGGCAGCAGUGGGGAAUCUUGCGCAAUGGGCGAAAGCCUGACGCAGCGACGCCGCGUGAGGGAUGACGGCC